GAUGAACGCUGACAGCAUGCUUAACACAUGCAAGUCUUUGGCGAAUCUGUGCUUGCACCGGCUAGCCAAGGCGGACGGGUGAGUAACGCGUAAAGAACUUGCCCUGCAGACAGGGAUAACAGACGGAAACGACUGAUAACACCUGAUACAGUUGCCGGCACGCAUGUGCCUGGCAAUGAAAAGAGAUGCUGCAGGAGAGCUUUGCGUCCUAUUAGCUUGUUGGUGAGGUGACGGCUCACCAAGGCGAUGAUAGGUAGCCGGCCUGAGAGGGUGAACGGCCACAAGGGGACUGAGAUACGGCCCUUACUCCUACGGGAGGCAGCAGUGGGGAAUAUUGGACAAUGGGGGCAACCCUGAUCCAGCAAUUCUGUGUGCACGAAGAAGGUUUUCGGAGUGUAAAGUGCUUUCAGCAGGGAAGAAGAAAGUGACGGUACCUGCAGAAGAAGCGACGGCUAAAUACGUG
Molecule: ribosomal RNA, 463 nt
Filed under: uncultured bacterium
Lineage: Bacteria
Description: partial 16S ribosomal RNA
Rfam family: Bacterial small subunit ribosomal RNA
Source: RNAcentral